CAGCUGGACUCAGUUUAGAUGAGCCCAAUUUUGUUGGCAACAUCCAAAGCAUCAUAGUCAGGAGCCAGUCGAACAUAUGCUUUCUUUUCUUCAUCGGACCCGAUCAGAGUGUUGACCUUGGCCACUUGGUCAAUGUCCUAGAGCUUCUUCACAGCCUGUUUGAUCUGGUGCUUGUUGGCCUUGACAUACACAAUGAACACAAAAGUGUUGUUGUCUUCUAUUUUCUUUGUGGCUGACUCGAUAGUCCGGGGAAACUUGAUGAUGGCAUAGUGGUCAAGCUUGUUUCUCCUGGGGGCACUCUUUCGAGGAUAUCUGGGCUGCCUUCGGAGAUGCAGUGUCUUGGGCCAUUGGAAUGUAGGUGACAUGCAGAUCUUUUUUUUUUUUUUUAUGACUGUGGAUGCCUUUCAGCACUGCUUUCUUGGCCUUCAAAGCCUUUGCUUUGGCUUCAGCUUAGGGAGGGGCAGGGGCUUCCUUCUUUGCCUUUGACACCAUCUUCGUGAAAGGGCUCC
This 509-nucleotide long non-coding RNA is filed under the name Lynx pardinus (Iberian lynx). The record is from RNAcentral. Lineage: Eukaryota; Metazoa; Chordata; Mammalia; Carnivora; Felidae.